CACCAGACUCCUACGGGAGGCAGCAGUGGGGAAUAUUGCACAAUGGGGGAAACCCUGAUGCAGCGACGCCGCGUGAGUGAAGAAGUAUUUCGGUAUGUAAAGCUCUAUCAGCAGGGAAGAAAAUGACGGUACCUGACUAAGAAGCCCCGGCUAACUACGUGCCAGCAGCCGCGGUAAUACGUAGGGGGCAAGCGUUAUCCGGAUUCACUGGGUGUAAAGGGAGCGUAGACGGCAGUGCAAGUCUGGAGUGAAAGGCGGGGGCUCAACCCCGGGCUGCUCUGGAAACUGUACGGCUGGAGUGCAGGAGAGGUAAGGGGAAUUCCUAGUGUAGCGGUGAAAUGCGUAGAUAUUAGGAGGAACACCAGUGGCGAAGGCGGCUUACUGGACUGUAACUGACGUUGAGGCUCGAAAGCGUGGGGAGCAAACAGGAUUAGAUACCCGCGUAA
RNAcentral lists this ribosomal RNA (446 nucleotides) under uncultured bacterium. RNAcentral's name for it is "bacterial SSU rRNA". It matches the Rfam family "Bacterial small subunit ribosomal RNA", at positions 329 to 793 of the family's 1533-position model. The record is from RNAcentral.